This 562-nucleotide long non-coding RNA is filed under the name Mytilus galloprovincialis (Mediterranean mussel). The record is from RNAcentral. Lineage: Eukaryota; Metazoa; Mollusca; Bivalvia; Mytilida; Mytilidae.
AUAUAACAAAUGAAACAUUGAUACCAAAUUCAUGAAUGUGGGAUGACUAACUACCGUGACACGUCUUAUAGCAAUGCGAUUUUAUACUCAGCAAAAACAGUCACAAUAGGGAAUAAGUGAGAUCUGACGACGUAAUUGUAAAUAACAAUCAUUAUUAUACGUGGCAAAAAUAUCAUUAGUUAGUAUAGACAAAUACAUAAACGAAAUGGUAAAUGUUUUUGAAUUUUGUAACUAUUUUUUGAGCAUGCGCAAACCCCAAACAAGUCAAAUAUUCAUUUAUAUAAUAUAUCUCUCAUGUAAGGAAGGAACCCACCGAACCUCAUAUGUUUUUUACCAAAAGAAUGACAAAGAAAAACAGUUUUCCAGAAAAAUAGGUAUUUUCGAGCUUUGAAUUUGAAGCCAUUUUGAAAAGGCCGUGGCCAUCUUGAAAAAAUGAUUUUUUUUUGUUGGCCAGCAGCGGAUUUUUUUUUAGUAUCAUAUAGUCGUCCUUUAUACCAAAUUUCAUGCUUGUAUCAUCAUUUGCACAAUUCCCUCGAUUUUGCUUGCUAAUAUCUUCCACUAU